CCGGAGUAGCAGUUAUUGGCUGUUGCGUAUGGCUUUGAUCCAGAAGUUCGCAGGGUCGAUUCCUGCCUUCGGUG
Molecule: transfer RNA, 74 nt
Filed under: Pirellulaceae bacterium
Lineage: Bacteria; Pseudomonadati; Planctomycetota; Planctomycetia; Pirellulales; Pirellulaceae
Description: tRNA-Gln
Rfam family: tRNA
About the family: Transfer RNA (tRNA) molecules are approximately 80 nucleotides in length. Their secondary structure includes four short double-helical elements and three loops (D, anti-codon, and T loops).
Source: RNAcentral